UACAGAGGGGGCAAGCGUUGUUCGGAAUUACUGGGCGUAAAGGGCGCGUAGGUGGCCUUCUAAGUCGAACGUGAAAUCCCUGGGCUCAACCCAGGAACUGCGUCCGAUACUGGAAGGCUUGAAUCCGGGAGAGGGAUGCGGAAUUCCAGGUGUAGCGGUGAAAUGCGUAGAUAUCGUAAGGAAGACCAGUGGCGAAGGCGGGUCUCUGGACAGUUCCUGACGCUGAGGCACGAAGGCCAGGGGAGCAAACGGG
Molecule: ribosomal RNA, 253 nt
Filed under: uncultured bacterium
Lineage: Bacteria
Description: partial 16S ribosomal RNA
Rfam family: Bacterial small subunit ribosomal RNA
Source: RNAcentral